AUUGAACGCUGGCGGCAUGCCUUACACAUGCAAGUCGAACGGCAGCACGGGAGCAAUCCUGGUGGCGAGUGGCGAACGGGUGAGUAAAGUAUCGGAACGUGCCCAGUCGUGGGGGAUAACGUAGCGAAAGUUACGCUAAUACCGCAUACGAUCUAUGGAUGAAAGCGGGGGAUCGCAAGACCUCGCGCGAUUGGAGCGGCCGAUAUCAGAUUAGGUAGUUGGUGGGGUAAAGGCUCACCAAAGCCGACGAUCUGUAGCUGGUCUGAGAGGAUGGACCACCAACACUGGGACGGAGAAACGGCCCAGAGUCCUACGGGAGGCAGGAUUGGGGAAUUUUGGACAAUGGGCGAAAGCCUGAUCCAGCCAUGCGGGGUGCAGGAUGAAGCCCUUCGGGUUGUAACCUGCUUUUGUACGGAACGAAAAGGUUUGGCCUAAUAAGCUGAGCUCAUGACCGUACCGUAAGAAUAAGCACCGGCUAACUACGUGCCAGCCGCCGCGGUAA
This 502-nucleotide ribosomal RNA is filed under the name uncultured bacterium. RNAcentral's name for it is "partial 16S ribosomal RNA". It matches the Rfam family "Bacterial small subunit ribosomal RNA", at positions 30 to 523 of the family's 1533-position model. The record is from RNAcentral.